RNAcentral lists this ribosomal RNA (1203 nucleotides) under Triticum aestivum (bread wheat). RNAcentral describes it as "partial small subunit ribosomal RNA". Lineage: Eukaryota; Viridiplantae; Streptophyta; Magnoliopsida; Poales; Poaceae. The record is from RNAcentral.
AUGAGUGAUAUCCAGAGAUCAAUGGUGUUGAGCAUGUGGCGAGCCGCUGUUCUGCUAUGCUUCAUUCUUCAAGGUGCCACUGUUGCGGCUGAUAACGAGACAUGGGGCUACGUUGAAAUUCGUCACAAGGCGCACCUAUUUUGGUGGUACUACAAGAGCCCACAUCGGGUGUCUUCGCCAGUAAAGCCAUGGCCAACCAUCCUCUGGUUGGAGGGCGGUCCGGGAGGGUCAGGCGUCGGGGGUGGCAACUUCCAGGGGAUCGGGCCACUGGAUGUCAAUCUGAAGCCACGCAACUCGACGUGGCUGCAGAAGGCUGAUCUCAUCUUCGUGGACUUACCAGUGGGUGUCGGGUAUAGCUACGUGGAGGACCCAACCGUGCUAGCUACGACGGACGUGCAAGUCGCUGCUGAUGCCAUCGAGCUCCUCAAGGCACUUACCAAGGAGAUACCCACCUUGUGCAGCAGCCCGCUGUUCCUUGUCGGGGGUGUGGUGCUUGGGGAUAGCUGGAUCUCACCAGAUGAUUUUGCGCUGUCAUAUGCGCAACUGUUGCGUGAUGUGUCGAGGCUGAGCGAUGAAGCUGUUGCCCCUCUCAACAGAAUGGCGGCAAUAGUAAAAGAGCAGAUAGCAGCUGGGCAAUUCACCACGGCAAAGAUGACGUGGACGAAUCUUGUUGAUUUGAUUGACCAGCAGAGUGAUGGCGUGGAUAUGCUAAAUUUCUUGCUUGACAAAGGCGAAGGCUCAUCGACGAGCCAGGUGUUUCCGUCGACCCCCAACACCAUUGACGGUCUCAUGAAUGGGGUCAUUAAAGAAAAGUUGAAGGUUAUUCCUAAGAACAUAAUUUGGCAAGGAGUGGCUAUUCAAGUUUUCGAAGCAAUGAAUGCUACCUACAUGAAGCCAGCAAUCAAUGAGGUUGAUCAAUUGCUAGCAUAUGGAGUAAAUGUGUCGGUUUACAAUGGGCAAUUCGAUGUGAUAUGCUCGACAAUCGGUGUAGAAGCUUGGGUCAAAAAACUCAAAUGGGCUGGUCUGAAGAGUUUCUUGAGCACGCCAAGGCAGGCUUUGCGAUACUGUGAUUCUCCAGCGCGCUGCCUCAACCCCGUGAAGGCAUACGCUAGAUCAUACCAGAACCUGAACUUCUACUGGAUCCUCGGAGCUGGACACAAGGUGCCUGUCGACAAGCCCGACGUUCAGUCACCUGACAGCUAG